This 500-nucleotide ribosomal RNA is filed under the name uncultured bacterium. RNAcentral's name for it is "partial 16S ribosomal RNA". It matches the Rfam family "Bacterial small subunit ribosomal RNA", at positions 30 to 523 of the family's 1533-position model. The record is from RNAcentral.
AUUGAACGCUGGCGGCAUGCCUUACACAUGCAAGUCGAACGGCAGCACGGGAGCAAUCCUGGUGGCGAGUGGCGAACGGGUGAGUAAAGUAUCGGAACGUGCCCAGUCGCGGGGGAUAACGUAGCGAAAGUUACGCUAAUACCGCAUACGAUCUAUGGAUGAAAGCGGGGGAUCGCAAGACCUCGCGCGAUUGGAGCGGCCGAUAUCAGAUUAGGUAGUUGGUGGGGUAAAGGCUCACCAAGCCGACGAUCUGUAGCUGGUCUGAGAGGACGACCAGCCACACUGGGACUGAGACACGGCCCAGAAUCCUACGGGAGGCAGCAGUGGGGAAUUUUGGACAAUGGGCGAAAGCCUGAUCCAGCCAUGCCGCGUGCAGGAUGAAGGCCUUCGGGUUGUAAACUGCUUUUGUACGGAACGAAAAGGUUUGGCCUAAUAAGCUGAGCUCAUGACGGUACCGUAAGAAUAAGCACCGGCUAACUACGUGCCAGCCGCCGCGGUAA